This is a long non-coding RNA of Lolium perenne, 2507 nucleotides long. RefSeq lists it as uncharacterized. NCBI's taxonomy places the organism in Eukaryota, Viridiplantae, Streptophyta, Magnoliopsida, Poales, Poaceae. The record is from RefSeq and is a predicted model, not a curated record.
GGCAUCGUCCUCAAGCCGAAGCUCCAGUUUGGCUCUUCCUGGGUGGUAUCAGGUGUGGCUGUCUCGCCUCUAGCCUGCAGCUCCUCCUUCCUUUCCAAUGCCGGCAAGAUCAGCUCGCUGUUCGCCCUUUUCACCAUCGCCUCCACUGCAAGAUUGCAAGGUCAUAGAGAAGCUGUGAGUGAAGCAGACACAGGAAGAGGCGGCAGGAGGUGACGCAAACCAACUGUUUGAUGAAAUGCCGGCUUCAUGGAAUUAAGUUGAUCUUGCCUGAAGAAGCUAAAAGCUGUGGUCUCUGUUCUGUUGUGACUGUCAUGAACCAGGCGGUGUUGGCAAGAUUACUCUAAGCUCAGCACAUACACAAUGAUAAGAAUGCCAGCUCCGAGUUUGAAAUGAAGAUGUGGGUACAGUUUGGUCUCUUCGAAGCUCGCUGAAGGCCCUGAGAUGAACUAAUUGCAUAGUUGGUCUGGCCAGAGUGGGGCAAGGACUACUGACUGAUCUGUAGCAGACGAAGAGGGUCGUGCUGAAGAUAUUGCUUGCAACUACUUUGAUGACCUAUUCACCUAUAAAGCAGGGCGAGAGCCUGUUUCGAGAGGAGUACUUUGAUGACCUUGUCAUUUUGUCAAUUUUAUUCAGAGAUUGCUAUCUUGAGGAAAGGUUCCUACUGUUUAAAACUUUUAAUGGAGGUAAUGACAAUCAGUUCUAAUCAUGCUGUUGUGUGGGUAUAUACUGUUUUAUUGUUUGUAAUGACUACAUGCUUUAAUCAUAUUCCUAAUUUGAUGGUUUGUGCUGAUUUAAGAACCUUCAGUAUGUACCCUAGCACUUCUUACGGCAAGCAUGUCAUGCAUGAUCUUUAUCAUGAGCUUGCUGAGUAUGUAUCAACCAAAUAGCAUUCCAGAAUAGAAGAAAAUACAAUGACAUGCAAAGUAGAUAAAGCUCCAAUGGAGUCUCAUUCCAAUAGCCAAUAAUAAAAUAAUCCAAUCACUCUAGCCCGCGAACCAUCUUGGUUGUUAAAUAAACUGAACACGAGGAGCAAUGUAUUUUACUCCCUCCGUCCCAAGAACACGAGCGAGUACCUAUUAGAAAAGAUGAAGGAAAUUAUAGUAGUGCAUAAAGUUGCCAAAUCUUUCUUCUAAAAUUUAUCCUCAUUAAUUUAAAUGAAUAACUGAAAUUUACGCCGCAGACACUGUUUUGAAGAAGUAUUCAUCAACUGUUACUACAUUUUUUUUACUUGUCUACUGUCUAGCUUCUGCUGCUUUUCUGUGACAUGCCUUGACCAUUAACUUUCUUUAGGCAUACCAGUAGUAUUUAUUUCAAUGCAUGUGGUAACCUUACCUAUCUCUGCACUUGAUUUCAUUGAGCCAACCUUCGUCAUCUUCCAUUUGUGCAACUGCUAUUUGUUCCCAGUUCUACUUGCCACUAGCUAAAGUCAAAGAUAAACCAGGCGAAUUAUUGGAGUUCACGAUAUCCCCUCUUCAAGUUGCAUACAAUGAACCUCAUGUGUCCCAACAGUCUUAGUCGAUUAUCUCUUCUCAAGGGAUCAAAUUCCUCGCUAAUAUAAGGCAUCUUGAAGUAUACAUGGGUAGCUUGAAAUUCUGCAUGCCAUGUGGAAUUAGCAAAUUAUCAAGUCUCCAAACAAUGGUUGGUAAUGACUGAGGUAGUUGUAGCACUGAUGACUAGUUCAAAUCUUCAAGAAGAGUCACACAUCUCAGGAACUGGAAUGUUACCAGGGUGUAAAUUCUUACAGAAACUAGAUAAGCAAAUCGGAUCAUAAGCUAGAAAGUAAAUCAUGUAGAUUGAUAUCCCACUGAUCUUCCAUUUUAUUCCAUAUUUGCUGAUAAGGCAUCUAUGUUGGAUACCCUCAAGCGUCAUCCUGGUCUAGAGGAACUAGUUAUGAUGCGUUUUUCUGUGCCAGGUUUCCCUAUGGCCUUUCCUUUAUAGAGCUCAAUGCUUGUGAGAAUUGUAAUGCUCUGACUUUUCUUGGUCUAUUAUCUUUGGCAUCGUUUGUUCUGUUCACUCACAGGCUUAAAGAAUGUGAGAUGAAUCUUUUUUUUUUUGUAAAUAUGGGGACACUAACUGCAGUGGCUGUGGUUCCAACACAGCAGAGCCUUACCAUUGUUGGAGACACCGAAGAUCACAAACAUGGUGUCUUUGGGAACAAUGGGAGGAAACUGAAGCAACGGCAUCUUACCAUUCUGAGAUGUUAGCAAUGAGGGGCUUUCCCAAUAUUCAGGCUUUGAAAAUCUGCAAACAGAAAAUUGCAAGAAUCUGCUUGAAUUACAAAAUUUCUUGAACCUCCAACGUAUUAAAAUGGAGUCUCUGUGGUGUGUUAACAGUAUCCUGCAACUGCAUCUUAUUUUCAUAUUGAGUCAGCAAUCCUUCUUUUUUUAGGGAAAAGAGUCACAAGGAAUACAUAGCAAUGAAAUAUCUCGGAUUAUGUCCCCCUUUGGACUUCACAGAUUGAGAUUAAAGAAACAGCCAUUGCAUAAGGCCUCAGGGUUGAAAAUUUC